Molecule: ribosomal RNA, 253 nt
Filed under: uncultured bacterium
Lineage: Bacteria
Description: partial 16S ribosomal RNA
Rfam family: Bacterial small subunit ribosomal RNA
Source: RNAcentral
AACGUAGGUGGCGAGCGUUAUCCGGAUUUACUGGGCGUAAAGGGUGUGCAGGCUGCCCCUCAAGUGGUGUAUGAAAGGGCUCGGCUCAACCGGGCUAGGUUAUGCCAGACUGAGGGGCUAGAGCGCGAGAGCGGGACGUGGAAUUCCGGGUGUAGUGGUGAAAUGCGUAGAGAUCCGGAGGAACCCCAGAGGCGAAGGCGGCGUCCUGGCUCGCAUCUGACGCUCAGACACGACAGCAUGGGGAGCGAACGGG